This 253-nucleotide ribosomal RNA is filed under the name uncultured bacterium. RNAcentral describes it as "partial 16S ribosomal RNA". It matches the Rfam family "Bacterial small subunit ribosomal RNA", at positions 524 to 776 of the family's 1533-position model. The record is from RNAcentral.
UACGGAGGGUGCAAGCGUUAUCCGGAUUCACUGGGUUUAAAGGGUGCGUAGGUGGCGCCAUAAGUCAGGUGUGAAAUCUCGGGGCUCAACCCCGAAACUGCACUUGAUACUGUGGUGCUCGAGUACUGGAGAGGAGAUUGGAAUUUACGGUGUAGCAGUGAAAUGCGUAGAUAUCGUAAGGAAGACCAGUGGGGAAGGCGAAUCUCUGGACAGUUACUGACACUGAGGCACGAAGGCCAGGGGAGCAAACGGG